Molecule: long non-coding RNA, 5302 nt
Organism: Halichondria panicea
Lineage: Eukaryota; Metazoa; Porifera; Demospongiae; Suberitida; Halichondriidae
Exons: 4
Source: RefSeq, a predicted model, not a curated record
ACUUAUUAUCUGUGUAAUGUAUCAGUCUUAUAAAUGUAUCAGUCUUAUAAAAGAUCCCUCACUUGUAUGGAGCCGUGUCUCUGUCCUUCAUACAGCUUAACCAAAGUACCGCCCACCGCGGAACCAAAAUCUAAUUAAUUUUACAUUAUCAGCUGCGUAGCUAAGAAGCAGUAGCAGUUUUCUGCAGGCAACUUUGUUGCAAACUAGUCUAGAAUAGCUACUCUGCCAGGAUCUCUAAGUUUCAAACGGAGGAGUAUACCCCCAGCGAAGGAUCAUUUCACAAGUAAGCUCUGUGUGUGUACAGCGAUCAUCAUUUUCCUAGUUCAGCGCCUUUUGAGCUGAUUUAAUAUGCUUGUCCACCUACCUAGAUAGCUGUGUGAAAUAUACUGGAGAGUAGCUUCGUGAGUUUAGAGCCUGUUUUUAGAGUGUAGUCUACAACGCAAAUUAUUUUCUCUUUUUCAGCAUUCACAUCUACCAAAGAAAGAUGCAUAACUUGGAAACAGUGACAGUUUUCUUUAUUCAACUUCUUAGCAAAGUAGUCUACAGUAUCAGGAUCUCCUGGUUUCCAACGAAACAGUCAACCAGCCAAGGGCCAGAGCAAGGGAUCUAUAGCAAGCAUUAUGUAGCUAGUAUAAGCUAGUAUAAGCCUUCAUAAGCCUCUGAGCUUAUGAGUAUACUUGUGUAGAAGCUGAGUUAGUUUAGAGCCUGUUUUUAGAGUGUAGUGUUUUUAGGGUGUAGUGUACAGUGUUUGAUAUUCAAUUUAUUUGUUUCAGUGUGGCAAAGAAAGAGUAACAGUUCUCUUCAAGCUACCUUGUAGUUCUAUCUGAACAGUCAAAGAGUGUGUGUAUCUUUAUGUGCGCGUGCGUGUCUGUAUAAUUAUGUGUUCCAACGCGAGUGUAUGUGUGUGUGUGUGUGUCUGUAUGUGUGUGUGUAUUUGUGUGCACAUGUGUGUGUAUUCACUAUUGGUGCCCACAUGUGCGUGCGUGUGUGUGUGUGUGUGUGUGUGUGUUUGCGUGCCCGCCUGUGUGUGCCUGUGGCUAGCCUCGAUCCCAGGCCGAGUUUUCGCUUUUAUAACGGUUAGGCGAACAACUGGGCCUGGUACUAGUUGUCUGCGCAUGCGUCAGUCGUUCGUCAGAUUCUGACGAAUGGAUAUUCUCGUUCACUUUCGUGACAUUUAUAUUCGUGUACUAUCGUGUACUAGAAGUCAGUUCCCGUUUUAUCAUUAUUGGAAUCGAUUGGAAUGGCUCUUAGCUGAAGCUUCUCUCUUCUCUGAAGCUUAUUCUGAAGACUGAACAACAAGGGAAGAGGUAUAAAGCUUUGUCAAGCUUGUUAAGGUCAGAUAUUUUUGUGUGGGCCCUAUGGCCGGCUAUGCUAUCAAGUCUUGUUCAUGUUUGGCAAGAAUGUAGGUAGACUAUAGUUUCAUCAUUAAUAUGGUGGAUUAAGUGAAGAGUGUGAGCUAGAGAACUUGGUGCUGCCAUCAUCAGCUCGUCGACAAUGACACUAUAACCGAGAAAUUUAAUAUGUAUAGAUCUACACGUAUUUAAAAUGUCUACUUCUCUGUACAGGAGCAAUGGCUAAUAUCCAGCUAUCCCAACAGUGCUCCUCUUGGCUAUACUAACGGACGAGACUGGACAGUUUGAGUAUGACCUGCUCAUUCGAGCGUUGCUGGGUAGCUCAGAGACAUCAAGAGAAUCUACGUUUUCUCAAGCAAUGAGUUACGAGUUGGGGCCUAGAAUCAGAGAAGUCCAGCAGCCUGCUAAAUCUUUUUGAAACGUAAUUUGAAGGCAUUCAAUCAUCCUGAAGUUGCCCUGGGUCACUGGGUCACUGUAAUUGUGCUGCAGCACAACUGGCAACUCCCCAGGCCUUUGUGAAGCAGCUCCCUAUGUGCAUCUUUUGUGUACUCACUCUGCAUUUUCUGUGUACAAAUUUCCAUUAUUGAUUUAUUAAAUAUUUUUGCCGACCACAAAUAUACAAUGAAAAUUUGACGCAUGCGCAGACAACUAGUACCAGGCCCAGUUGUUCGCCUAACCGUUAUAAAAGCGAAAACUCGGCCUGGGAUCGAGGCUAGCCUGUGGCAUGAUACUUUAUACUGCUAACAAUUUACAGUUAAUUCUUAUGCCUAGGCUUGUGUGAAGUUUCUGCUUGCUUCCAAGGUUACAAUUCAAUUAGGCUACUACUCAAUUACAUUAGGCUCACUCACUGUGUACAUGUACAGUACAUGUACAGAGGUUGAUUGCAUAAAAAUGUUUUGACCUUUUCAGGGGAAAGCAAAGGCUUGUUGGGCUUAUGAGUGUACUGUUUACUUGUGUAAGGACAUUUUCUUCCCAAAUUGUGUUAUGCUAGGAUUAGGUCAUAAUUCAGGGGGAUUCAGUCAAUGGGGGUGCUCAUUGCGCGCCGCAAAAUUUAGACCACGCCCGUUUUGUCGGCAACGCCCACUGUUUUCUAGAUGGUGCACAGCCACAGUACUGACAGUGCCAUCAGCAAGUCAAGAAUGUUUACGACCAGAAGCUCAAUUCGCCUGGGAUGGCACUCUUCUUAAGGCCACUAAAAGAUUGAUCAGCUUACCAGGAGGUGACAGGCAGCGUACAAAGUAUGACCACCAGUACGUACCUUGAUGUUGAGGAAAAGAGACUUUGUAGUUUACAUUGCAAACAUUGAUUAUUAUUAUAAUUUAUUGUACAUACAUGUAGGCUUAAUUAUAUAAUUAUACUAUACAUUCAUGUACCUCAUGUACCUGGAUCCAAGAACCUUGUUGUGCUGCAUGUUGUGAGGCAUGUUUGAUACAGCAAACCACUUCCUGCUACCUAGCCUUAUUAUUGAGCCCCUCCCCACUCUUUAUUGGAUAUCCCAGUAUUAAAGGAUGGAAGAAAAGUAAGUUUUUUAGGCUAGCUAGCUGGAUUUCACUUAUUGUAACUAUCACUAUUAAGCUGUAGAUAGCUGCAGUAAGUGUAGCUUCCUUCUAGCCAGCCAGUGAUGGUUGAACUAUCUACCUGAGCUUCUCUGAGUCUGGAUAGGGUGCUAGAGCACCAGAGCCUGGAUGGGGGUGCUGGAGCACCCUAAGUAUGGAGGGCCAUUUGUGACAAAAAUGGGUACUACAUGUACAUGUUGAUUUCAAAACGCAAGUAGGGAAGACACGUUCAGAGAACGCGUAUAGGGAACGCGAGUAGGGAAGACGCGUAUAGGGAACGCGAGUAGGGAAGACACGUUCAGAGAACGCGUAUAGGGAACGCGAGUAGGGAAGACACGAGAACGCGUAUAGGGAACGCGAGUAGGGAAAACACGUUCAGAGAACACGUCUAUAUAGGAAACACGUGUUGCCUACGCACGUCUAGCUACUUUUGCCUACACGCGUUUUCUAAACACGUAUAGGCUACACGCGUUUUCUAAACACGUAUAGGCUACACGCGUUUUCUAAACACGUAUAGGCUACACGCGUUACGUAUAGGCUACACGCGUUACGUAUAGGCUACACGCGUUUUCUAAACACGUAUAGGCUAUAUAGGCUACACGCGUCUAGAGGUUGUACAUAAACGGAAACCACAAACGGAAACCACACCCCUUUCUUACAGUCCUAUUUCCCAAAGAAAGGGGCGUGGUUUCCACUAAGUAUUUACAGUGGCAUAAUUAAUUAUAGAGGUACAUAGAAAACAUGGCAGAAGCAGAAACUCUCAACAUAUUGACCUAUGUGUUGCCAUUUUAGAAGACAUUUCAUUUUGCAUCAGUUUUAUGUUGCUAAUUUCCAAGAAGAAGAUGUGCUAGAGGGUUUACUGAUAGCUUGUGAGUCGCUAACAACAUACUGUGUAUUGCUGGAAGGGGUUAUUUUGUUAAAUGGUGCCUCAAGGUUGGCACAAGCCGUGAGAAUCGUCAUUGCUCAUUUGUCUGACAUUAUUGAACAGUUGGAAAGUUGGCUUGAGAGGGUGCUGGCUAGAAACCGAGACAGAGAUAGCCGUAGAGGUAGGCCUAAGAUGGUAAUAACUGAAGAUCAGCUUAUACAGCUGUUGAAUAGCCAUUUUUCUGUACAGGAUAUUUCAAAGAUGCUACAGUGCUCACCACGAACUAUUUAUAGACGUAUUCAAGAAUUUGGAUUAGCAAAUUCUCUUCAUUCUAUUGUUAGUGAUAUCGACCUAGAUGUUAUUGUGUCAGAGUUUGUUCAGUGCCAUCCAAUGAGUGGUUACAGAAUUCUUAUUGGCCACUUACGAUCACUUCAUAUUCGGAUACCAAGACAAAGAGCAAGGGACAGCCUUAUUCGUGUGGAUCCCACUGGAGUAGCGAAUAGGCUUCGGAAAACCUUACAUCGGCGCCAAUAUUCAGUGAUAGGCCCGAACAGUCUAUGGCAUGUUGAUGGAUAUCAUAAACUAAUAAACUGGAAGAUUGUUAUCCAUGGAGGAAUCGACAGGUAUUCAAGACUUAUUGUAUACCUAAAAGCUGCCAACAACAACAGAGCCACAACAGUGUUAUCGUCUUUUCUUGAGGGUGUCGAUACAUAUGGAUUGCCAUCAAGGGUGAGAAGUGACAAGGGUGGUGAAAAUGUUGGCAUUUCAGAGUAUAUGCUCAAUCAUCCAUGUAGAGGACCAGGAAGAGGAAGCAUGAUUACUGGCAGAAGCGUCCACAAUCAAAGGAUUGAAACAUUCUGGGGUGCAUAGCAUCUUUCUAUACUUUAUUCUGUGAACUGGAAAAUGCAGGGCUACUCAAUAUUGACAAUGACCUGUUUUCCCUACUGUUUUCCCUACAUUAUUGUGCCAUACCCUUACUGAAUCGGCAGAUGUACGAAUUUAGUAACUCUUGGAAACAUCAUCCUCUUAGCACUGAACGAAACAAGACACCACAUCAAUUAUGGGUUUUAGGAAUGUGUACCACUGCAGAACAGGCUGUUAUACAAAGUUUGAUGGACCCUAUAAACCAAGAAGAAUUGCAGUGGUAUGGUGUAGACUGGACUGGGCCUGCACCUACUUCCCAGUCAGUGGAUCAAGUUACAGUAACAGCGGUCAAUAAUCAUUUACCUCAAUGUUUGUACGAAGUCUUACAAAGAGAAAUUUCUCCAGACACAGUAUACAUAAUUAUGAGCAACAUUGAUCAAAAAUAUGUACUUGUUCGUGCGUUUGUGAAUACAUUCUCUUACAUGUAAAUUAUUUAGUUAUGGAUUGUUAUGGCUUAUGCGGUCAGUCUCCAUUGCAUGCACAGUUAUUAUUAUGUAUAAUUUUUUAUUAGGGAUUUAAUUUGUAUCAUUUCACAAUAAUUAUUAUUAUAUCUACAUAGUCCAUGCCUAUUAUUAGCAAGCAGUACUUUAAUUUGACCCAAGCAU